RNAcentral lists this ribosomal RNA (1487 nucleotides) under uncultured bacterium. Its description in RNAcentral is "bacterial SSU rRNA". It matches the Rfam family "Bacterial small subunit ribosomal RNA". The record is from RNAcentral.
AGAGUUUGAUCCUGGCUCAGGAUGAACGCUAGCGACAGGCUUAACACAUGCAAGUCGAGGGGCAGCAUAAAAGUAGCAAUACUUUGGUGGCGACCGGCGCACGGGUGAGUAACGCGUAUGCAACCUACCUAUCAGAGGGGGAUAACCCGGCGAAAGUCGGACUAAUACCGCAUAAAACAGGGGCACCGCAUGGUGAUAUUUGUUAAAAAUUUAUUGCUGAUAGAUGGGCAUGCGUUCCAUUAGGUAGUUGGAGAGGUAACGGCUCACCAAGCCUACGAUGGAUAGGGGAACUGAGAGGUUGGUCCCCCACACUGGCACUGAGACACGGACCAGACUCCUACGGGAGGCAGCAGUGAGGAAUAUUGGUCAAUGGGCGCAAUGCCUGAACCAGCCAAGUAGCGUGAAGGAAGACUGCCCUUAGGGUUGUAAACUUCUUUUAUAAGGGAAUAACGAUAGCAACGAGUUGCUAUUUGCAUGUACCUUACGAAUAAGGAUCGGCUAACUCCGUGCCAGCAGCCGCGGUAAUACGGAGGAUCCAAGCGUUAUCCGGAUUUAUUGGGUUUAAAGGGUGCGUAGGCGGGAAAGGAAGUCAGUUGUGAAAUUUUAUGGCUCAACCAUAAACUUGCAGUUGAAACUCUUUUUCUUGAGUACACAUGAGGUGGGCGGAAUUUGUGGUGUAGCGGUGAAAUGCAUAGAUAUCACAAGGAACUCCAAUUGCGAAGGCAGCUCACUGGGGUGUAACUGACGCUAAUGCACGAAGGUGUGGGUAUCAAACAGGAUUAGAUACCCUGGUAGUCCACACAGUAAACUAUGAAUACUCGCUGUUUGCGAUACACAGUAAGCGGCUAAGCGAAAGCAUUAAGUAUUCCACCUGGGGAGUACGUCGGCAACGAUGAAACUCAAAGGAAUUGACGGGGGCCCGCACAAGCGGAGGAACAUGUGGUUUAAUUCGAUGAUACGCGAGGAACCUUACCUGGGCUUGAAUUGCAACUGAUAGCUUUUGAAAGAGAGUUUUUCUUCGGAACAGUUGUGAAGGUGCUGCAUGGUUGUCGUCAGCUCGUGCCGUGAGGUGUCGGCUUAAGUGCCAUAACGAGCGCAACCCUUAUUGCUAGUUGCUAACAGAUUAUGCUGAGGACUCUAGUGAGACUGCCGUCGUAAGAUGUGAGGAAGGAGGGGAUGACGUCAAAUCAGCACGGCCCUUAUGUCCAGGGCGACACACGUGUUACAAUGGGAGGAUCAACGGGCAGCUACCUAGCGAUAGGAUGCUAAUCUCUAAACCCUCUCUCAGUUCGGAUUGAAGUCUGCAAUUCGACUUCAUGAAGCUGGAUUCGCUAGUAAUCGCGCAUCAGCCACGGCGCGGUGAAUACGUUCCCGGGCCUUGUACACACCGCCCGUCAAGCCAUGGAAGCCGAGGGUACCUGAAGUAUGUAACCGCAAGGAGCGUCCUAGGGUAAGAUCGGUGACUGGGGCUAAGUCGUAACAAGGUA